GAUGAAGAACGCAGCGAAAUGCGAUAAGUAAUGUGAAUUGCAGAAUUCAGUGAAUCAUCGAAUCUUUGAACGCACAUUGCGCCCCCUGGUAUUCCGGGGGGCAUGCCUGUCCGAGCGUCAUUACAACCCUCAAGCUCAGCUUGGUGUUGGGCCCCGCCGCCCCGGCGGGCCCUAAAGUCAGUGGCGGUGCCGUCCGGCUCCGAGCGUAGUAAUUCUUCUCGCUCUGGAGGUCCGGUCGUGUGCUCGCCAGCAACCCCCAAUUUUUCUCAGGUUGACCUCGGAUCAGGUAGGGAUACCCGCUGAACUUAAGCAUAUCAAUAAGCGGAGGA
Molecule: unclassified non-coding RNA, 329 nt
Filed under: soil metagenome
Description: partial contains 5.8S ribosomal RNA, internal transcribed spacer 2, and large subunit ribosomal RNA
Rfam family: 5.8S ribosomal RNA (bases 1-120)
Source: RNAcentral